This 510-nucleotide ribosomal RNA is filed under the name uncultured bacterium. RNAcentral describes it as "bacterial SSU rRNA". It matches the Rfam family "Bacterial small subunit ribosomal RNA", at positions 36 to 518 of the family's 1533-position model. The record is from RNAcentral.
CUGGCGGCGUGCCUAAUACAUGCAAGUCGAACGGUCUUUCUAUGGAAGCUUGCUUCCACUGAGAAGAUAGUGGCGGACGGGUGAGUAACACGUGGGUAACCUGCCCAUAAGAGGGGGAGUAACAUCCGGAAACGGGUGCUAAUACCGCAUAGUUUUCUUGAUCGCAUGAUCGAGAAAGGAAAGACGGCCUUUGUGCUGUCGCUUAUGGAUGGACCCGCGGCGUAUUAGUUAGUUGGUGAGGUAACGGCUCACCAAGACGAUGAUACGUAGCCGACCUGAGAGGGUGAUCGGCCACAUUGGGACUGAGACACGGCCCAAACUCCUACGGGAGGCAGCAGUAGGGAAUCUUCCGCAAUGGACGAAAGUCUGACGGAGCAACGCCGCGUGAGUGAAGAAAGGUUUUCGGAUCGUAAAACUCUGUUGUCAGAGAAGAACAAGUCGGAGAGUAACUGCUCCGGCCUUGACGGUAUCUGACCAGAAAGCCACGGCUAACUACGUGCCAGCCGCAGC